GACGAACGCUGGCGGCGUGCCUAAUACAUGCAAGUAGAACGCUGAAGGAGGAGCUUGCUUCUCUGGAUGAGUUGCGAACGGGUGAGUAACGCGUAGGUAACCUGCCUGGUAGCGGGGGAAAACUAUUGGAAACGGUAGCUAAAACCGCAUAAGGGUACAUGUUGCAUGACAUUUGCUUAAAAGGUGCAAUUGCAUCACUACCAGCUGGACCUGCGUUGUUUUAGCUAGGUGGUGGGGUAACGGCUCACCAAGGCGACGAUACAGAGCCGACCGGAGAGGGGGAGCGGCCACACUGGGACGGAGACACGGCCCAGACGCCUACGGGAGGCAGCAGUAGGGAAUCGUCGGCAAUGGACGGAAGACUGACCGAGCAACGCCGCGGGAGUGAAGAAGGUUGUCGGAUCGGAAAGCUCGGUUGUAAGAGAAGAACGAGUGUGAGAGUGGAAAGUUCACACUGUGACGGUAUCUUACCAGAAAGGGACGGCUAACUACGUG
RNAcentral lists this ribosomal RNA (495 nucleotides) under uncultured bacterium. RNAcentral describes it as "partial 16S ribosomal RNA". It matches the Rfam family "Bacterial small subunit ribosomal RNA", at positions 28 to 507 of the family's 1533-position model. The record is from RNAcentral.